AGUUUGAUCAUGGCUCAGAUUGAACGCUGGCGGCAUGCCUUACACAUGCAAGUCGAACGGCAGCACGGGAGCAAUCCUGGUGGCGAGUGGCGAACGGGUGAGUAAUACAUCGGAACGUGCCCAGUAGUGGGGGAUAACCCGGCGAAAGCCGGACUAAUACCGCAUACGACCUACGGGUGAAAGCAGGGGAUCGCAAGACCUUGCGCUAUCGGAGCGGCCGAUGUCAGAUUAGCUUGUUGGCGGGGUAAAAGCCCACCAAGGCGACGAUCUGUAGCUGGUCUGAGAGGACGACCAGCCACACUGGGACUGAGAGACGGCCCAGACUCCUACGGGAGGCAGCAGUGGGGAAUAUUGGACAAUGGGCGGAAGCCUGAUCCAGCAAUGCCGCGUGGAUGAAGAAGGUCUUCGGAUUGUAAAGUCCUUUCGGCGGGGACGAUGAUGACGGUACCCGCAGAAGAAGCCCCGGCUAACUUCGUGCCAGCAGCCGCGGUAAUACGAAGGGGGCUAGCGUUGCUCGGAAUGACUGGGCGUAAAGGGCGCGUAGGCGGACAUAUCAGUCAGGCGUGAAAUUCCU
RNAcentral lists this ribosomal RNA (574 nucleotides) under uncultured bacterium. RNAcentral describes it as "bacterial SSU rRNA". It matches the Rfam family "Bacterial small subunit ribosomal RNA", at positions 10 to 604 of the family's 1533-position model. The record is from RNAcentral.